RNA transcript from Caenorhabditis elegans, 1165 nucleotides. It is a transcript of the gene named Non-coding transcript of protein-coding gene srh-80, with no coding region annotated. The record is from RefSeq and is marked reviewed. The transcript is spliced from 4 exons. NCBI's taxonomy places the organism in Eukaryota, Metazoa, Nematoda, Chromadorea, Rhabditida, Rhabditidae.
AUGAUAAGUCUUCAAGAAUAUUAUACAACCAACUAUACAAAGUGCCCAAAAUGUGAAUAUUUUUUGUGCUCCUGGCAGGAUUACGCGCAUACCAUGCAUAUUUUUGCGGGAAUUGCAAUUCCAUUCUAUAGUUUUGGAUUUCAUUGUAUUUUAUUCAAAACUCCAAAACAUAUGAACAACUCAAAAGUCUCAUUACUGAACUUCCAUUUUUGGUAAUCAAGUGGAAACUUAAAGACAUAAAUGGAUCAUAAAAUUUGAAAACUCGAAGGAAUUUUUUUUAAUUGGCGAAUUCCAAAAAAGUGGCAAGAAACUGAGGUCUUGUCUUCUUGAUAUUAUAUUCAGUGCUCUUGUGACUCCGUAUUUAUUUUUGCCAGCGCUAGCCGGAUUUUCUCUAGGUCUAUUGCAAUUUUUGGAAGUUCCCAUAAAAGCACAACUAUGGCUUUUUUCUUUUUCUAUGCAUGCUGUCUACAUGUCAAUGACGUACCUACUUGAAACUCGUCACAAUUCAAUUCAGUUCAACAGGUUCCGGAUAACAUGCAAACGAUUCAAGACCGUUUACUAUUCUAUUCGUAUAAUGCUCGCAUUUAUAUAUUCUUUCACGAUCAUUGAAUUUGUGCCUGAAGAUCAGGAGACGUUAUAUUCUAAAGUUCUGGAAAAAGUCCCAUGCCCAGCGGAUGACUAUUUCAAAGCGGAGGAGCACUUUGUUCUGUGUGACAAUGAAGCUCAUUUCAAACUACUUCUCACGUUGGUCACAAUAAUGGGAGUAUCUGAAGGAUUACAAAUGAUGUUUUUCACAACAUGUUGUUUAUAUUACCUAUUCUAUUCUACUAAGCAAUUUACUUCAAAAAAGACGAGGCAAAUGCAAAUCACAUUUUUCCGAAAUAUUGUUCUACAAAUUUCAAUACCUGUUCUGUCCUUCUUACCAACUAACUUUGUCGUCACUACGUCAACUCUCGCCGAGUAUAAUAACCAAGCUCUUAUCAAUUUAUUUUUUAUCCACAUGUCCUUGCACGGAUUAUUGUCAACUUUUGUUAUAUUGUUCAUACAUCGUCCUUAUCGAGAAUUCAUUCUCUCAUUUUUUAUGCAGACAUCUUCAGCGGCUUCAGUGAAAUCAAUAGCUAAACUGACGCCAAUAAAAGUCGGUCAAACUUGUAUCACAAUUUGA